CUGCAUGGCUGUCGUCAGCUCGUGUCGUGAGAUGUUGGGUUAAGUCCCGCAACGAGCGCAACCCUUGUCAUUAGUUGCCAGCACUGAGUUGGGCACUCUAAUGAGACUGCCGGUGACAAGCCGGAGGAAGGUGGGGAUGACGUCAAGUCCUCAUGGCCCUUAUAGGUGGGGCUACACACGUCAUACAAUGGCUGGUACAGAGGGAAGCGAACCCGCGAGGGGGAGCCAAUCCCAAAAAGCCAGUCGUAGUCCGGAUCGCAGUCUGCAACUCGACUGCGUGAAGUCGGAAUCGCUAGUAAUCGCGGAUCAGAAUGUCGCGGUGAAUACGUUCCCGGGUCUUGUACACACCGCCCGUCACACCAUGGGAGCGGGUUCUGCCAGAAGUAGUUAGCCUAACCGCAAGG
This 404-nucleotide ribosomal RNA is filed under the name uncultured beta proteobacterium. RNAcentral describes it as "bacterial SSU rRNA". It matches the Rfam family "Bacterial small subunit ribosomal RNA", at positions 1041 to 1446 of the family's 1533-position model. Lineage: Bacteria; Pseudomonadati; Pseudomonadota; Betaproteobacteria. The record is from RNAcentral.